This is a long non-coding RNA of Cucurbita maxima (winter squash), 94 nucleotides long. RefSeq lists it as uncharacterized. The transcript is spliced from 3 exons. NCBI's taxonomy places the organism in Eukaryota, Viridiplantae, Streptophyta, Magnoliopsida, Cucurbitales, Cucurbitaceae. The record is from RefSeq and is a predicted model, not a curated record.
GAAUGACGGAUAUAUAUAUGUAUAUAUAUUGUGAACGAUAUGACAACAAAAUGUUUAAGAUAUGAUAUGAUUAUGAUAUGACAUAUGAAUGACG